RNAcentral lists this ribosomal RNA (443 nucleotides) under uncultured bacterium. Its description in RNAcentral is "bacterial SSU rRNA". It matches the Rfam family "Bacterial small subunit ribosomal RNA", at positions 36 to 524 of the family's 1533-position model. The record is from RNAcentral.
AACCUGGCGGCAUGCCUACCAUGCNAGUCGCACGAGACCUUCGGGUCUAGUGGCGCACGGGUGCGUAACGCGUGGGAAUCUGCCCUUAGGUUCGGAAUAACUCAGAGAAAUUUGAGCUAAUACCGGAUGAUGACGUAAGUCCAAAGAUUUAUCGCCUAGGGAUGAGCCCGCGUAGGAUUAGCUAGUUGGUGAGGUAAAGGCUCACCAAGGCGACGAUCCUUAGCUGGUCUGAGAGGAUGAUCAGCCACACUGGGACUGAGACACGGCCCAGACUCCUACGGGAGGCAGCAGUGGGGAAUAUUGGACAAUGGGCGAAAGCCUGAUCCAGCAAUGCCGCGUGAGUGAUGAAGGCCCUAGGGUUGUAAAGCUCUUUUACCCGGGAUGAUAAUGACAGUACCGGGAGAAUAAGCCCCGGCUAACUCCGUGCCAGCAGCCGCGGUAAU